UCUCCAACAUAUUUCCAAAACCACCACAAAUCCCCUAAAAUAUAACAAUAUUGACACAAACCCACAAAUUAUCUCCUUAAAUCUACCACAAAAUUCCCAUUCUCAACCCCACCUAUAGCACAAGAAACCAAAACCUCCCUUACCC
Molecule: long non-coding RNA, 145 nt
Organism: Telopea speciosissima
Lineage: Eukaryota; Viridiplantae; Streptophyta; Magnoliopsida; Proteales; Proteaceae
Exons: 3
Source: RefSeq, a predicted model, not a curated record